UACAGAGGGGGCAAGCGUUGUUCGGAAUUACUGGGCGUAAAGGGUGCGUAGGCGGCGCGGUAAGUCGGGUGUGAAAUCUCGGAGCUUAACUCCGAAACUGCAUUCGAUACUGCCGUGCUUGAGGACUGGAGAGGAGACUGGAAUUUACGGUGUAGCGGUGAAAUGCGUAGAUAUCGUAAGGAAGACCAGUGGCGAAGGCGGGUCUCUGGACAGUUCCUGACGCUGAGGUGCGAAAGCGUGGGGAGCAAACAGG
This 253-nucleotide ribosomal RNA is filed under the name uncultured bacterium. Its description in RNAcentral is "partial 16S ribosomal RNA". It matches the Rfam family "Bacterial small subunit ribosomal RNA", at positions 524 to 776 of the family's 1533-position model. The record is from RNAcentral.